Molecule: long non-coding RNA, 86 nt
Organism: Sinocyclocheilus anshuiensis
Lineage: Eukaryota; Metazoa; Chordata; Actinopteri; Cypriniformes; Cyprinidae
Exons: 2
Source: RefSeq, a predicted model, not a curated record
UUUUUUCUCAUCCUCUUCCCUUUAGCCGUGUAACCGCAUGGGAGAGAUGACGACUGGCAGCAGAAGUAUCGUUUCGUCAUCUAGCC